AUUGAACGCUGGCGGCAUGCCUUACACAUGCAAGUCGAACGGCAGCACGGGAGCAAUCCUGGUGGCGAGUGGCGAACGGGUGAGUAAUAUAUCGGAACGUGCCCGGUCGUGGGGGAUAACGUAGCGAAAGCUACGCUAAUACCGCAUACGAUCUACGGAUGAAAGCGGGGGAUCGCAAGACCUCGCGCGAUUGGAGCGGCCGAUAUCAGAUUAGGUAGUUGGUGAGGUAAAGGCUCACCAAGCCGACGAUCUGUAGCUGGUCUGAGAGGACGACCAGCCACACUGGAACUGAGACACGGUCCAGACUCCUACGGGAGGCAGCAGUGGGGAAUUUUGGACAAUGGACGCAAGUCUGAUCCAGCCAUUCCGCGUGCAGGAUGAAGGCCCUCGGGUUGUAAACUGCUUUGUACGGAACGAAAGGUCUCUUCUAAUAAAGGGGGACCCAUGACGGUACCGUAAGAAUAAGCACCGGCUAACUACGUGCCAGCAGCCGACGG
RNAcentral lists this ribosomal RNA (497 nucleotides) under uncultured bacterium. Its description in RNAcentral is "bacterial SSU rRNA". It matches the Rfam family "Bacterial small subunit ribosomal RNA", at positions 30 to 520 of the family's 1533-position model. The record is from RNAcentral.